UGCUAAGUGCUUCUGCCAUCUAACCAUAUGAUCUCUCUUUGUAUGCGUAUGAAUUACAAUCUCUGUAUAUUUUUUCACUUGAGCAGGUGCCUCUCUGGAAUCUGAGGUUGUUUAUAGCCCUCUAAAUUAAGUAGAUCAACAUACUAAACACAGUUGCAACAAUUUCCCAAUAGCCAGACUUCUGCUUCAUGCCUCUCAGCAUCAAAUCAAUC
Molecule: long non-coding RNA, 212 nt
Filed under: Capsicum annuum
Lineage: Eukaryota; Viridiplantae; Streptophyta; Magnoliopsida; Solanales; Solanaceae
Description: long non-coding RNA (CANN_LNC012752)
Source: RNAcentral